GGCACUUUGGCCGAGUGGUUAAGGCGAAAGACUUGAAUAGUUUAAUCUUCGGAUUAUCAUUACAAGGUUAUCUUUUGGGAUUUUCCCGCGCAGGUUCGAGUCCUGCAGGUGUCG
Molecule: transfer RNA, 114 nt
Rfam family: tRNA
About the family: Transfer RNA (tRNA) molecules are approximately 80 nucleotides in length. Their secondary structure includes four short double-helical elements and three loops (D, anti-codon, and T loops).